UUUUUUUUUUUUUUUUAUUUUUUUUUUUUUAAUUGGUGUUCAAUUUACUAACAUACAGAAUAAUACCCAGUCCCCCGUCACCCAUUCACUCCACCCCCCCCGCCCCCCUCCCCUUCUACCCCCCCUAGUUCGUUUCCCAGAGUUAGCAGUCUUUACGUUCUGUCUCCCUUUUUUGAUAUUUCCCACACAUUUCUUCUCCCUUCCCUUAUUUUCCCUUUUACUAUUAUUUAUAUUCCCCAAAUGAAUGAGAACAUAUAAUGUUUGUCCUUCUCCGACUGACUUACUUCACUCAGCAUAAUACCCUCCAGUUCCAUCCACGUUGAAGCAAAUGGUGGGUAUUUGUCAUUUCUAAUAGCUGAGUAAUAUUCCAUUGUAUACAUAAACCACAUCUUCUUUAUCCAUUCAUCUUUCGUUGGACACCGAGGCUCCUUUCCCCAGUUUUGGGGUAUAGUGGCCAUUGCUGCUAGAAAACAUCGGGGUGCAGGUUGUCCCGGCGUUUUUAUUGCAUUUGUAUCUUUUGGGGUAAAUCCCCAACAGGGCAAUUGCGGGGGCGUAGGGCAGGGAUAUUUUUAACUGUUUGAGGAACCUCCACACAGUUUUUCCCGAGGGGCUGCACCAGUUCACAUUCCCACCCCAAAAGUGUAAGAGGGUUCCCUUUUCUCCGCAUCCUCUCCAACAUUUGUUUUUUUCCUGCCUUGUUUAAAUUUUCCCCCUUCUCACUGGCGUGAGGUGGUAUCUCAUUGUAGUUUUGAUUUGUAUUUCCCUGAUGGCAAGUGAUGCAGAGCAUUUUCUCAUAUGCAUGUUGGCCAUGUCUAUGUCUUCCUCUUGAGAUUUCUGUUCAUGUCUUUUGCCCAUUUCAUGAUUGGAUUGUUUGUUUCUUUGGUGUUUGAGUUUAAUAAGUUCUUUAUAGAUCUUGGAAACUAGCCCUUUAUCUGAUAUGUCAUUUGCAAAUAUCUUUCCCAUUCUGUAGGUUGUCUUUGAGUUUUGUUGACUGUAUCCUUUGCUGUACAAAAGCUUUUUAUCUUGAUGAAGUCCCAAUGUUCUUUUUUGUUUUUGUUUCUUUUCCCUUUUGUGGUGUAUCUUGAAAGAAGUUACUAUGGCCGAGUUCAAAAAGGGGUGUUGCCUGGUUCUUCUCUGGGAUUUUGAUGGAAUCUUGUCUCACAUUUAGAUCUUCCCAUUUUGAUUUUUAUUUUUGGUUGGUAAAAGAGAGUGGUCUAGUUUCAUUUCGCAUUGGAUGCCCAAAUUUUUCCCAGCACCAUUUAUUGAAGAGACUGUUUUUUCUCCAAUGGUAGUCUUUCCUCCUUUUUCGAAUAUAGUUGCCCCUAAAAUUCGGGGCCACUUCUGGAUUCUCUUUCUGUUCCAUGAUUUUGUGUCUGUUUUUGUGCCGACCACACUUCUUUUGACCACAGCUUUUUAGUACAACCUGAAAUCUGGCAUUUUGAGCCCCCAGAUAUGGUUUUUUUUUUUAAAAUUCCCCUGGCUAUUCGGGGUCUUUUUCUGAUUCCACACAAAUCUUAAAAUAAUUUGUUCUAACUCUCUGAAAAAAGUCCAUGGUAUUUUGAUAGGGAUUGCAUUAAACGUGUAUAUUCCCCUGGGAAACCCUUGACAUUUUCACAAUAUUAAUUCUGCCAUCCAUGAGCAUGGAAUAUUUUUCCAUCUCUUUUGUCUCCCUCAAUUUUUUUCCCGAAGUGUUCUAUAGUUUUGAGGGUAUAGAUCCUUUACAUCUUUGGUGAGGUUUUUCCUAGGUAUCUUAUGCUUUUGGGUGAAAUUGUAAAUGGGAUUGACUCCUUAAUUUCUCUUUCUUCAGUCUCAUUGUUAGGUAUAGAAAUGCCACUGAUCGGGGCAUGAUUUUGUUCCUGCCACGCUACCGAAUUGCUGUAUGGUUCUAGCAAUCUUGGGGUGGAGCCCUUUUGGUUUUCUAUGUAGAGUAUCAUGUCAUCGGCGAAGAGGAGAGUUUGACUUCUUCUUUCCCAAAUUUGAAUGCCUUUAAUGUCUUUUUGUUGUCUGAUUGCUGAGGCUAGGACUUCCAGUACUAUGUUGAAUAGCAGUGGUGAGAGUGGACAUCCCUGUCUUUUUCCCUGUUUCUUAGGGGAAAGGCUCCCAGUGCUUCCCCAUUGAGAAUGAUAUUUGCUGUGGGCUUUUCAUAGAUGGCUUUUAAGAUGUCGAGGAAUGUUUCCCCCUAUCCCUACACUCUGAAGAGUUUUAAUCAGGAAUGGAUGCUGUUUUUUGUCAAAUGCUUUCUCUGCAUCCAAUGAGAGGACCCUAUGGUUUUUGGUUUUUCUCUUGCUGAUAUGAUGAAUCACAUUGAUGUUUUACGGGUGUUGAAACCGCCUUGUGUCCCAGGGAUAAUCCUACUUGGUCAUGGUGAAUAUUUUCUUAAUUACUGUUGGAUCCUUUUGGGCCCCUUUAUCUUGUUGGAAUUUUUGCAUCCAUGUUCAUCAGGGAUUUUGGUCUGUAAUUUCCUUUUUGGCGGGGUCUUUGUCUGGCUUUGGAAUUAAGGUGAUGCUGGCUUCAUAGAAGAAUUUGGAAGAAAUCCAUCUCUUUCUAUUUUCCCAAAAACAGCUUUAGGAGAAUAGGUAUGAUUUCUUUUUUAAAAACUUUUGAUAAAAUUCUCCUGGGAAGCCAUCUGGCCCUGGACUCUUGUGUCUUGGGGGUUUUUGAUGACUGCUUCAAUUUCCUCCCUGGUUAUUGGCCUGUUCAGGUUUUCUAUUUCUUCCUGUUCCAGUUUUGGUAGUUUGUGGCUUUCCAGGAAUGCGUCCAUUUCUUCUAGAUUGCCUAAUUUUUUGGGCGUAUAGCUGUUCAUAAUAUGUUUUUAAAAUCUUUUUGUAUUUCUUGGUGUUGGUAGUGAUCUCUCCUUUCCAUUCAUGAUUUUAUUAAUUUGAGUCUUCUCUCUCUUCUUUUUAAUAAGGCUGGCUAAUGGUUUAUCUAUCUUAUUAAUUCUUUCAAAGAACCAACUCCUGGUUCUGUUGAUCUGUUCCACAGUUCUUCUGGUCUCGAUUUUGUUGAGUUCUGCUCGAAUCUUUAUUAACUCCCUUCUUCUCUUGGGUGGGAGGAUCUAUUGCUGUUUUUUUUUCUAGCUCCUUUAUGUGUAGGUUAGCUUUUGUAUUUGAGUUCUUUCCAGUUUUGAAUGGAUGCUUGUAUUGCGAUGUAUUUCCCCCUUAGGACUGCUUUUGCUGCAUCCCAAAGAUUUUGAACGGUUUGUAUCUUCAUUCUCAUUAGUUUCCAUGAAUCUUUUUAAUUCUUCCUUAAUUUCCUGGUUGACCCUUUAUCUUUCAGCAGGAUGGUCCUUAACCUCCAUGUGUUUGAGGUCCUUCCAAACUUCUUGUUGUGUUUAGUUCUAAUUUCAGGCAUUAUGGUCCGAGAAUAUGCAGGGGACAAUCCCAAUCUUUUGGUAUCGGUUCAGACCCGAUUUGUGACCAAAAUGUGGUCUAUUCUGGAGGGAAAGUUCCGUGUGCGCUUGAGAAGAAUGUGUAUUCAGUUGAGUUUGGAUGUAAAGUUCUGUGAUAUCUGUGAAAUCCUCUGGUCCAGUGUAUCGUUUUUAAAACUCUCGUUUCUUUGGAGAUGUUUUGCUUUUGAAGACCUAUCGGUAUAGAAAGGCUAGAUUGAAGUCACCAAGUAUAAGUGUAUUAUUAUCUAAGUAUUUCUUCACUUUGGUUAAUUUAAUUGAUUUAUAUAUUUGGCAGCUCCCACAUUCGGAGCAUAUAUAUUGGGAUUGUUAAGUCCUCUUGUUGAAUAGAUCCUUUAAGUAUGAUAUAGUGCCCCUCUUCAUCUCUCACUCCCAGUUUUUGGGGAAAAUUUUAGUUUAUUGUAAAGGGGCUACCCCUGCUUUCUUUUGGGACCAUUCGAAUGGUAAAUGAUUUCCAAUUUUUUUAUUUUCAGGCUGUGGGUGCCCCUUCUGUCAAAAAUGAGUCUUUUGGGAGAAAAGCAAAUAGAUGGGUCCUGCUUUUUUAUCCAGUCUGAAACCCUGCGCCUUUUGAUGGGGGUCAUUAAGCCCUUCACAUUCAGAUUACUAUUGAGGGGAUAUGAGUUUAGUGUCAUCAUGAUAUCUAUUCAGUCUUUGUUUUGUGGACUGUUCCACUGAACUUCUUUUUAAAAGGGGGAAUUUUAAGGGGCCCCCCUUUUAAAAUUUCUUGCAGAGCUGGUUUGGGGUCACAUAUUCUUUUAGUUGCUGCCUGUCUUGGAAGCUUUUUUAUCUCUCCUUCCUUUUUGAAAUGAGAGCCUUGCUGGAAAAAGUUUUCUUGGUUGCAUGUUUUUUUCCUCAUUUAGGACCUGAUAUAUCCUGCCACCCCUUUUCUGGCCUCCCAGGUCUCUGUGGAGAGGCUGCUUUUUACCCUAAUACUCCUCCCCAUAAAAGUCAGGGAUUUUUUUGUCUCUUGCUGUUUUAAGGAUCUUCUCCUUAUCUUUGGAAUUUGCAAGUUUCCCACAAUUAAAUUCGAGGGGUUGAACGGUUUUAUUGAUUUUAGGGGGGGAUCUCUCAUUUCCUGGAUCUGAAUGCCUUUUUCCCCCCCCAAGAUUAGGAAAGUUUUCAGCUAGAAUUUGUUCAAAUACAUAUUCUGGCCUCUGCCCCUUUCGGCGCCCUGGGGAAACCCCCCAUUAAACGUAGGUUUUUUUUCCUCAGGCUGUCGUUUAUUUCCCUUAAUCUAUCUUCAUGGCCCUUUUAAUUGUUUGUCUUUUUUUUUCCUCAGUUUCCCUCUUUGCUAUCAACUUGUCUUCUAGGUCACUCACUCGUUCUUCCCCCUCGUUAACCCUCGUCGUUAGGACUUCUAGUUUGGAUUGCAUCUCAUUCAAUUGAUUUUUAAUUUCUGCCUGAUUAGCUCUAAAUUCUGCAGUCAUGAAGUCUCUUGAGCCCUUUUUCUUUUUUCUAGAGCCACCAGUAGCUGUAUAAUAGUG
This 4890-nucleotide long non-coding RNA is filed under the name Canis lupus familiaris (dog). RNAcentral's name for it is "lncRNA (ENSCAFG00000051468.1)". The record is from RNAcentral. Lineage: Eukaryota; Metazoa; Chordata; Mammalia; Carnivora; Canidae.